This is a long non-coding RNA of Lucilia cuprina (Australian sheep blowfly), 247 nucleotides long. RefSeq lists it as uncharacterized. The transcript has 2 exons. Lineage: Eukaryota; Metazoa; Arthropoda; Insecta; Diptera; Calliphoridae. The record is from RefSeq and is a predicted model, not a curated record.
AGUUGCUGCUUUGCUUGAAAAAUUUCUCAUUUAUUUUUCAUGUUGUGCUUAAUUUAGUAACUGAAGGAAGACAUCUUAUGGAACACUUGAACUGUCAUAAGGCUACACCAUAUCCCUGCAUAACAAAUUACCAAAUGCGGAUCAAGGAACGUCUACCAGGACAGCAGCUUAUUUUUUACUUUAUUUAUAAAAAUUUAACUUAAAAUUUUAAAUAAAUACAACAAAAACACAUGUUAUUUCAUUAUAA